GAGUGCCUACGGGACGCAGCAGUGGGGAAUAUUGGGCAAUGGGCGCAAGCCUGACCCAGCAACGCCGCGUGAAGGAAGAAGGCUUUCGGGUUGUAAACUUCUUUUCUCAGGGACGAAGCAAGUGACGGUACCUGAGGAAUAAGCCACGGCUAACUACGUGCCAGCAGCCGCGGUAAUACGUAGGUGGCAAGCGUUAUCCGGAUUUACUGGGUGUAAAGGGCGUGUAGGCGGGAAAGCAAGUCAGAUGUGAAAACCACGGG
This 260-nucleotide ribosomal RNA is filed under the name uncultured bacterium. Its description in RNAcentral is "partial 16S ribosomal RNA". It matches the Rfam family "Bacterial small subunit ribosomal RNA", at positions 334 to 607 of the family's 1533-position model. The record is from RNAcentral.